RNAcentral lists this small nucleolar RNA (80 nucleotides) under Cephalotus follicularis. The record is from RNAcentral. Lineage: Eukaryota; Viridiplantae; Streptophyta; Magnoliopsida; Oxalidales; Cephalotaceae.
GGGAUACAUGAGGAUAUUUGUCCAAUCAAUACUGACAUUAUAUUGAUGAUUUCAAAACAUGCACUACCAUCUGAUAUCUC